CUCAGCCAAAAAGACUCAUUUGCAGCUGAAGCAAACAUAUGAAGAUUGUCAUGGAAUAUGUACAAAACGAAAAUUUACAAGUCUUCAAUAAUCAUCUUCAUCAUCAUCAUCAUCUUCAGUACUAGUGUCCGUACUGUUUUCCGAGUAAUCAACAUCAAUAGCCACAACCUUACAGGCACUAAUCUUAGUAGAAGCUGAUCUGAUCUUCAAUGGCAAUUUUGCAUUGCAAGCCACAACUCCAUAUGCUUCUUCUCCCUCUUUCUUCAAGUCGCGAGGCGGCAAAAAACAGUCCAUUGAUAAUCCUUUUAUGUUAAAAUCCACUUCUUCUAUAGCCCAAACCUCUUCCAUUCUUGUUCUUGAAUGGUUUUCUGAGUUCUCACCAAAUCUAAACAAUGAAACUGAUGUUCUACCACCAUGUGCUAUGUUUAUCCCGUCAAUGGUUCUGUAAUCUUGAAUUCUGGACUCCAUUGUCGUCUCCCAGAAUAUGCUGUCGUUUCCUGAGGCUUUGAUUCUUAGAAGGUGAGAGUCUUCUAGUUGGACCAAGAGGCCUGUUCUUUGACUGAAGUAUCCCCUAACUGUGUGCCUUAUUAUUUCUACAUUGCUUGUGCUUCUUGCUCUUAAUGAUGAAGGUUCAGCUUCUAGCUUUAGUACAAAACAGUCCUCGUCGUUGAUUGCCAUCUCCCCAACGCAAAUGGAGUUGGAGAACAAGUUGGCCGUGGAUUUUGGAUCAAGACCCUGGAGGAACCGCCUGAGUGGCCUAGGUGGGCCUCUGGAAGCAUGGGAAUGGUGCCAUGGAGUCUGCCUCCAAGCUACCUUACCAUCACUGCCUGCGCUAAUCUUGCAACCUGAAACCACCAGCUCCAGGCACCACAAGUCAGGCCUUUUUUGCCAGAGAACAAAUCCUCCCAUCUCUCCACCUCCAUUCAUCAAAUUCUUCACUUUCACCACCUUAUUGUUCAAGCUCCCUUCUCCUGUACAGAACUCUGAAGCUCCCAUUUUCACCUUCCCCAUUGCAUACAUGCUGUCUACAGAAUUCAAUGCCUUCUCCCCUCCCACUGCUGCUACGUACUGUUGCACUAUGUAUUUUGCCAUUGAUGCCUCAAUAGGUUGGUCUUUGAUGUUCCGGUUGAUGAAAAGGUGAUCACAACUGAUGGGAAGAGGGAUCAAAGGAGCUCCAACAACACCAAGCAAGAGUUGGAUCUCUGUAUUUCUGCUUCCAAAUAGGUUUGCCAGAGAUCUAUCAGUAUGUGGUCUCAUCCAAGCUUUCAAGUUCUGCCACGACCUAUUCCCGUUCUUGUUUGAACCAAACAUCUCCUCUGGGAUUGGAACCUCAAGGACCGUCUCGAGCCCAUCUUCUCUAUCAAAAUUUGGACAAAGUUUCCUCAUUAGAGAAAGAGAAAGAAUAUUGCAGAUGUCAAGUUGUGGGAGUUUUCAAGCAGAAAAUAAAGAGAGAGAGAGAGACUUGGAUUGAAAGGGAGGAGGGACUAUGAAGAGGGGCAGAGAGAUGAGUAUGUUUGUGAAUUGUGUGUUUAGGCAGCUAUGGUGAACAUAUGGCCAACCGACCAUUGCCCACUGCCAACGUGGUA
Molecule: unclassified non-coding RNA, 1586 nt
Filed under: Hevea brasiliensis (rubber tree)
Lineage: Eukaryota; Viridiplantae; Streptophyta; Magnoliopsida; Malpighiales; Euphorbiaceae
Source: RNAcentral